CAUGAAAUAAAUCAAGGAACUGGUUUAAAAAUAAAUAAAUAAAUAAAAGGCUGAUGAGGCAAAACUGAUGAGCUACAACAUCGGGCAGAGAUGAGAAAACAGUUUUUGGUUGGUAUGAUUGCCAAUGCCCUGAGUGUGAAACCAAUCCAGUUGUCAGUGUCCUCAAAUCCUUUGAGGCAGACAUAGUGGUGGUGUUAAUGUCUCUUCAGCUUUACCUAGAAACCUAGUCUGUUGUCAACAAAAGUCACAUGCCCCAUUUCUCAUGCAGUGUCUGAGGACAGAGCCUGUCCCAUACUCUCCCUCCUGCUGGCAGCAACACAGCUCUGUGAGCUCCAGCCCGGAGGUCUGGAAAAUUUCAGGCUUUGAUGUUCACACAGUAAAUUUAAAUAACAGCUUACAUCUCAGUGAAUACUUGAAGCUCCUGGAGAAUACACUUUUACCCUGCAGUAUGUCCUCUUGAAAUGAUUCUUUAUUGUUGUCUUUCUAUGUAAUGGUAAUAGUAUUUGAAGCACGUCAAUGUAAAACCAUAUAGGUUCAUUUUCAGAAUCUGCAGUGAAGACAUUCUACUGAAAAUUAGAAUUAUACUGGUCUAAAAGAGAAAUGAGAAUUAGAUUGCAAGGCUUAAGGAACAAGACAGGGCUGUAAAACAGCAGGAAAAAAAAGUUGGACUGAAGAGGAUGGGGGGCCCAGCUAUAGAAAUCUGCAUUUACUCAUCAGAGAUUUCCAUGUAGCACAGCAGACUGGUACACACUCACACAAGCAUGAAGCUAUUGUGAUACAAAUAUAAGUUCUCCGUGUGAAUAUUUUAGCAACAUUACGUGACCUAAUGUUCCAUUGCUCACUGAAGAUGUAGCAGGUCUCCUCUGUGGGGCAACAGUAAUAUAUACACCCCUUUAUUACCAAAUAAACAGAGUUUUCCUCAUUCUGGAUUAAUUUCUGUUAUUUGUUUAUCUUAGUAGUUGUGUCAGGCACUUUGGAUUUUUUUUCUUCCUAAUAAAGAAAGACUAGAAAGGUAUUUGUGAUAGAUAUGGUGCAGUCCAGCAGUUGAAGUUCAUUAAUAAUUGGAAUGUUGCAGAGUAUGAAGUAAUGAAUACUAAUUACUCCUUUCAUGUCUGACAGCACCCCGUGGACCAAUACAUCAGCCCAGACUUUAAUUUGGUUCUAGUAAUGGUUUCAUCAAUAGUACAUUAAUUCUGUGUUUGAAAAGAUAUACAGUUGAACCUGACCCACACAGUAGAUACCACUGUCAUAAAAUGGCCACAUACUGACAACAACUGGAUAAUUACAAAUAAUUAAAUCCACUGAGCUUCAGACAAUCCUAAUUUUAAGUAAAAUAUAUCUUAUCAUAUCAAUCGACAGAAAGCAUAGCUAGGGAGAUUUAUCAACUUGUACUCCUUCCAAAGCAAAUUUACUAGCCUGCAUAUUAGAGAACUUGCUGAUCUGUGAAGCAACUUCAUAAAAUUAUAUUCCUCCCCACAUUGUUUACCAAGAUUGUUCUUGCAUCAGACUCCUUGAUAUUCUGUAACAUCAGCUUCUGGUAUUGUUUUAGAAUGAAACCUGCAAAAGGAAUUUUGAGCUUCAGAGAACUUCAGAUAUAUGUAUGAAUUUACAUUUUUCUCAAAACUUGGGUGAUUAUAGUGUGAACUACAGGUACUUGCUAUCUCUGCAAAUCAGACUUAUAGUGCCUUAGUUAGAAGUAUUUAGAAGUUAGAAUAGAUAAUAGUUAGAAGCCUAACAAGCUUUAGGUGUUGGAGCUUGAGUAUUUUAGUUUUAGUUUAGUUUAGUUUAGUUCAGGUUUCUGGACCUGCAAACCUGCUCAGUGGGUCUUAAUAUACAUUAUACUGUGAUCUGAUAUUGACAAUGGCUAAAAAUUGCUAAAAUUAUUAUUAAAAAUAAUUUAGUAUAUUUUCUGAGAGAAUGGAGAAAAGACAUAAGUGAAUAAAAUAAUUUCAAAAACUAUCUGUUGUACUGCAUGUGUGUAUGUAACCAUGAAAGGCAUGGGGGGGGGGGGAAAUUAGGUCUUACUUAAUAGCAAGGUAUGCAAAAGUGAUUCAAAAUGCACAUACUGAGAUCUAGUGAAGCAGAUAAUCAAGGCAUGUAAGUAAACAGGUGCCAAUUCUGUACAGAUUUUUUGGCACUAACCUGCUAGUUCUGGAAGAGAAGUGACACCACUGAAUAGGUUUGGUCUGGACAGACUUUAAUACUAGAGUUUUAUCUCUGUAAUUCCUAUACCAUCUCUCCAGAACCACUGUUUUGGAGGUAACUGGAUGUAGGCAAUUAACUGUACAUAUCAAUAUCAUUUUGACUCAUAUGGGAGAUGGUAGAUGAAUAAAUUCGUUGUUCAUAAGACCCUGUAUGCACCAUAUGAACUGUUAUACCUACUCAUCUCCUCUGCACCUUCACAAAGUGGUAGUCACAUUUCUUCAGUUGAAAGAUUAGGUUAUUUAGGAUUAUUUAAGAUGCAUUGAAAUUUGAUUUAUGUGCAAAUGUAGCUUGUAUGAACAAGUUUCCAUUCUUAAGAGGCAUGACUGUUAUUCAUGCACACACACAGCAAGACAAUUCCUUUGGUUUCUCUACAGGGAUAGCUUUCCUUGCCUUGAACGUCUCACCAGCUGUGCAACUUUAAGGCAGCAUUUUCCAACUGAACUAGUUUGACCAACUUACACAGUUUGCCUACUGAGAUUGCCUAGUAACAGUUCCAUUCUGCACUUGUUUUCACCUGAUUUGUUCAACUGCUUUCUCUACGUUACUUGUUGGAGUUUGAAAGUCUUUUCCAGAAGCUUUUAAUUUUAAGCAGCAGGAAGUGAAAGAAGGCUCCUUUGGAAAAUGUGUUUAUCCCUCUUUCUUCAAACAGAAAAAUAUUGUUUCCCUUUCCUUUUCUGUCCAAGAAUUUAUCACUUCUUUUCAUUCUUGCUGAGCUGAUACAAAACAUUUAUUUAUAGGAAGCUAUCCUAGUUUUUGCCAUUUAGAGUCACAGCAUGUUUUGGAGAACAUCCACCCUGAAAGGUACUCUUUUUAAUUUUGAGUUGCAUGAAAAUAUUUGCUAUGAAAAGUGUUUGCAUAAACUCAAGCCAUUUCAUGAUAAGAGAUCAUGUUUGUAUGCUGAAGAUUUUUUCGUCUUCAUCAGAUGCUCUCUUUGAAAGUCCUAGGCUUGUUUCCUUAGCCAGUAUGUGACAAGGGAAAAGCAGUUCUUUGUGCUGGUAACUCCAAUUUUGGCAGACUCAUUCAUAGACUUCUCACAGAUGAGAGUUUGGUGUGUGUAUAAGCUUCUGCAAUAUAUUCAUUCUUAGUAUUUGUUUUUGCUAAAAAUCAGUUAUUCCUUAAACUUUACGCAGGAUUUUAAGUGCCUUGGGAACCCCUUUCAAAUCUCUUAAUCUAUUUUUUCAAGAUCUAUGACUAUUUCAACAGCAAAACACGAGCAGAUAAUAAUUUCUCUUUAAUUUACUUUGCAUGUUCCUAAAUAAUAGAGAGACAGAGUUAAUACGAGAGAUACUUUGUUUAUUCCUAACUAGAAUUGUACAUUAAUUUAGUCCAUCCUAGCAACCUCUGCUGGUGAAAUAGGAGAUUAAGAAGAAAAAUUUCCUAAAGACUAAAUCUACUUUGGGUUAUUUCUUUGGAGUAAAUUAUUUGCUAUGUCUUCUAUCAAGGGCUUUCAUAGCCCUUAUAGUGCCUAUACCUGCUUCAUUUCUUCAGAAACCAGAGUCAACCUUUAAAUGGAUGCAUUUAAUUUAAAAAAAUGAAGCAGUUAUUUGAAUAGUUGUUGCUUAUACUCCUUGAACCGUGUGAGAGUAAUAACAAAACAUUUAUUUUUCCCAGAUCUGUAAUUAACAGAAAAACUAGAAUAGCAGCAGUAAUAAAGCCAACUGAGUCAUUAUGUAGUUUUUGCCUUUCAUAGAUGAUAAUCACAGAACUUGGUAAUUUAUUGGUCUUGCGAACUGAGAACCCAUAAAGUAAGUACUCGAAUCCAUAACUUGAAAGCCAAUUAUAUCACUACAUAGACCUUCUGGAAUGUAGCGUGACUCUCUUAGUAAAGUUUUUCCACUGGCAAAGCAAACUGAAAGUCACUUUUUGUCAGAUCUAUGCUUCUGUCUUUUGCCUUUGUGUGUGUGUGUUAAAAGUGCAAUGAAAUUGCUCUGUUUCAAGCUCUAGUGUUUCAUUCUCUACAGCUGUAGCCAAUUUUAAAAGGUAUGAAAGGACCACAGUGUUGGAAUUGAAAUCCAAGUUGCAGAACUGAAAGGUGAAUUCACAUCUAUCUAAGGAAGGCUGAAUUACCUGAAGGACAAAACUGUUUGGCUGAAUGUAUCUAGCUGAAUGUGGCUAUUAUGCAAGCACAAGACAGGAAUGCUCAUCUCCUGUAGUUUGCAUUGCAUUAGUAUACAACAUGCAUACAUCCGAUGUUGUCUUGUAGAGUCAUGGGUUUCCUAGGACCAGACACAUUAAGUUAUUCUUGGGAAUUCACUUGCAGUGUAUCAUAAGUGACUGCCUUUUCAUCCUAGUCCUUGGUGAAAUGCAAAAGUGCUUUCAGCACACCAUUUUAUUUAGCUUGUGUCUUCUGGCUAAGGGGAUGUCAGAGGCAGGCAAGAAUGCUGACAGUUGAAAUAUAUGCCCCUGACUCUGGCAGUGCACUGUGAUAUCCUAAAAAGAAAGCAAUAUUUGUUUGUACAGAGAAUUGCUUUAUUCACGUACUGGUGUGACUUUCAUGAGUUGUGUUUUAAUAUUAAGUAUCUGUAGUGUUGCAACCACUUAAAAAAUUGAUUAGACAAUGUGAACUUGAGCUUUAUGAAAUGAGUUUCCAUCUACUUGCAUUCCAUUGCAUAAAUACUAUACAGAUUUCUUUUUAAACAAACAAACAAUUAUCAAUAUUUGGAACUCCUUUCUUGGAACAAAACAUUCAAAGCAGCCAUCACUGUACAGAAUAAAUAAAUAAAUAAAUAAACCUUUAUGUAAAGAAACAGUUGUAAGCUAUUUGACAAAAGAUUAUUUGAAAACUCUCCUAAGCUUGUUGUAAGCAAUAAAGAUAGAAGUUUACCCCUCAGCCACAGACUCUUCAGCACAGCGGUGAAUAAUCUACCUGUGUCUGCUGUACAUAUAUGUGGAAAGGAAGCUGUGCCAAUUAAGAAAUGCUGUAUGUAUUCUUCAUAUAGUUUUGGUGUGCUCAGUCAUCAUCAUUUUGUUCCUUAAGGUGCAGGCACAUAAAGUUUGGUUUGUAUCCACUUCUUGUGCUGCCAUGAUCACACAGUACUCAUCUUUUUGUAAUUAAGAUAUUUAUGAUUUUUUCCCGUUCUUGUGGGAAAAAAAUUCUUAUUCUUAUAUUC
This 5315-nucleotide long non-coding RNA is filed under the name Anas zonorhyncha (Eastern spot-billed duck). RNAcentral describes it as "lncRNA (ENSAZOG00000017313.1)". Lineage: Eukaryota; Metazoa; Chordata; Aves; Anseriformes; Anatidae. The record is from RNAcentral.